UACGAAGGGGGCUAGCGUUGCUCGGAAUCACUGGGCGUAAAGCGCACGUAGGCGGCUUUCUAAGUCAGGGGUGAAAUCCUGGAGCUCAACUCCAGAACUGCCCUUGAUACUGGAGAGCUUGAGUCCGGAAGAGGUGAGUGGAACUCCGAGUGUAGAGGUGAAAUUCGUAGAUAUUCGGAAGAACACCAGUGGCGAAGGCGGCUCACUGGUCCGGUACUGACGCUGAGGUGCGAAAGCGUGGGGAGCAAACAGG
RNAcentral lists this ribosomal RNA (253 nucleotides) under uncultured bacterium. Its description in RNAcentral is "partial 16S ribosomal RNA". It matches the Rfam family "Bacterial small subunit ribosomal RNA", at positions 524 to 776 of the family's 1533-position model. The record is from RNAcentral.